ACAUGCAAGUCGAACGAACUCUGGUAUUGAUUGGUGCUUGCAUCAUGAUUUACAUUUGAGUGAGUGGCGAACUGGUGAGUAACACGUGGGAAACCUGCCCAGAAGCGGGGGAUAACACCUGGAAACAGAUGCUAAUACCGCAUAACAACUUGGACCGCAUGGUCCGAGCUUGAAAGAUGGCUUCGGCUAUCACUUUUGGAUGGUCCCGCGGCGUAUUAGCUAGAUGGUGGGGUAACGGCUCACCAUGGCAAUGAUACGUAGCCGACCUGAGAGGGUAAUCGGCCACAUUGGGACUGAGACACGGCCCAAACUCCUACGGGAGGCAGCAGUAGGGAAUCUUCCACAAUGGACGAAAGUCUGAUGGAGCAACGCCGCGUGAGUGAAGAAGGGUUUCGGCUCGUAAAACUCUGUUGUUAAAGAAGAACAUAUCUGAGAGUAACUGUUCAGGUAUUGACGGUAUUUAACCAGAAAGCCACGGCUAACUACGUGCCAGCAGCCGCGGUAAUACGUAGGUGGCAAAGCGUUGUCCGGAUUUAUUGGGCGUAAAGCGAGCGCAGGCGGUUUUUUAAGUCUGAUGUGAAAGCCUUCGGCUCAACCGAAGAAGUGCAUCGGAAACUGGGAAACUUGAGUGCAGAAGAGGACAGUGGAACUCCAUGUGUAGCGGUGAAAUGCGUAGAUAUAUGGAAGAACACCAGUGGCGAAGGCGGCUGUCUGGUCUGUAACUGACGCUGAGGCUCGAAAGUAUGGGUAGCAAACAGGAUUAGAUACCCUGGUAGUCCAUACCGUAAACGAUGAAUGCUAAGUGUUGGAGGGUUUCCGCCCUUCAGUGCUGCAGCUAACGCAUUAAGCAUUCCGCCUGGGGAGUACGGCCGCAAGGCUGAAACUCAAAGGAAUUGACGGGGGCCCGCACAAGCGGUGGAGCAUGUGGUUUAAUUCGAAGCUACGCGAAGAACCUUACCAGGUCUUGACAUACUAUGCAAAUCUAAGAGAUUAGACGUUCCCUUCGGGGACAUGGAUACAGGUGGUGCAUGGUUGUCGUCAGCUCGUGUCGUGAGAUGUUGGGUUAAGUCCCGCAACGAGCGCAACCCUUAUUAUCAGUUGCCAGCAUUAAGUUGGGCACUCUGGUGAGACUGCCGGUGACAAACCGGAGGAAGGUGGGGAUGACGUCAAAUCAUCAUGCCCCUUAUGACCUGGGCUACACACGUGCUACAAUGGAUGGUACAACGAGUUGCGAACUCGCGAGAGUAAGCUAAUCUCUUAAAGCCAUUCUCAGUUCGGAUUGUAGGCUGCAACUCGCCUACAUGAAGUCGGAAUCGCUAGUAAUCGCGGAUCAGCAUGCCGCGGUGAAUACGUUCCCGGGCCUUGUACACACCGCCCGUCACACCAUGAGAGUUUGUAACACCCAAAGUCGGUGGG
Molecule: ribosomal RNA, 1416 nt
Filed under: Lactiplantibacillus plantarum
Lineage: Bacteria; Bacillati; Bacillota; Bacilli; Lactobacillales; Lactobacillaceae
Description: Lactobacillus plantarum 16S ribosomal RNA
Rfam family: Bacterial small subunit ribosomal RNA
Source: RNAcentral